RNAcentral lists this ribosomal RNA (994 nucleotides) under uncultured bacterium. RNAcentral describes it as "bacterial SSU rRNA". It matches the Rfam family "Bacterial small subunit ribosomal RNA", at positions 21 to 927 of the family's 1533-position model. The record is from RNAcentral.
GGCUCAGGAUGAACGCUGGCGGCGUGCCUUAAGCAUGCAAGUCGAACGGAGAUUGUGCAUAGCACUAAGAGAGUUAAUCUCGAUUGUCUUUUUUCAAUUUGUUGUGCGCCAAGGUACGAAAUCAGUAAAACUAUAUUUUUUUGGCGUAUAACGAAUGUGAUAAUUGACAAUGAUUUUAACUAUUUUUGUGCUAUGCACGAAAUCAGUGGCGGACGAGUGAGUACAAGCAAGGAACGUACCCUAAAGUAUCGCAUAGCUCGUCGAAAGACGGGGUAAUACGGUAUGUGAACGCAAGUUUAAAGCAGCAAUGCGCUUUAGGAGCGGCCUUGUACCUAUCAGCUAGUUGGUGAGGUAACGGCUUACCAAGGCUACGACGGGUAGGGGGUGUGAGAGCAUGACCCCCCACGAUGGCACUGAGAUACGGGCCAUACACCUACGGGUGGCAGCAACUGGGAAUCGUUGACAAUGGGCGAAAGCCUGAUCACGCGACGCCGCGUGAAGGAUGAAGGCCUUCGGGUCGUAAACUUCUUUUGCCAAGUUUCCGAAGCUUGGCGAAUAAGCAUCUACUAACUACGUGCCAGCAGUCGCGGUAAUACGUAGGAUGCAAGCGUUAUCCGGAAUCACUGGGCGUAAAGAGUCGUGUAGGCGGUCUUCCGCAUCGUAUUUGAAAGCCCGAGGCUUAACCUCGGUGUUGGAUACGAGAUGGGGAGACUUGAGGGUAGAAGAGGGAAGGGGAACUCAUAGUGAAGCAGUGAAAUGCGUUGAUAUUAUGAGGAACACCGAAGGCGAAGGCACCUUCCUGGUAUACACCUGACGCUGAGACACGAAAGCUAGGGGAGCGAAGCAGAUUAGAGACCUGCGUAGUCCUAGCCCUAAACGCAUGCCUGCUAGAUGCCCCCGUUUUGCGGGGGUGUCGUAAGCUAACGCGUUAAGCAGGCCGCCUGGGGAGUACGAUCGCCAGAUAAAACUCAAAGGAAUGACGGAGGGGCAAAUC